GGCGGCGUGCCUAAUACAUGCAAGUCGAGCGGACGGAUGGGAGCUUGUUCCCUGAAGUCAGCGGCGGACGGGUGAGUAACACGUGGGCAACCUGCCUGUAAGACUGGGAUAACUUCGGGAAACCGGAGCUAAUACCGGAUAAUGCACAGCCUCUCAUGAGGCUAUGCUGAAAGAUGGUUUCGGCUAUCACUUACAGAUGGGCCCGCGGCGCAUUAGCUAGUUGGUGAGGUAACGGCUCACCAAGGCAACGAUGCGUAGCCGACCUGAGAGGGUGAUCGGCCACACUGGGACUGAGACACGGCCCAGACUCCUACGGGAGGCAGCAGUAGGGAAUCUUCCGCAAUGGACGAAAGUCUGACGGAGCAACGCCGCGUGAGUGAUGAAGGUUUUCGGAUCGUAAAACUCUGUUGUCAGGGAAGAACAAGUGCCGGAGUAACUGCCGGCACCUUGACGGUACCUGACCAGAAAGCCACGGCUAACUACGUGCCAGCA
Molecule: ribosomal RNA, 492 nt
Filed under: Bacillus sp. BAB-2922
Lineage: Bacteria; Bacillati; Bacillota; Bacilli; Caryophanales; Bacillaceae
Description: bacterial SSU rRNA
Rfam family: Bacterial small subunit ribosomal RNA
Source: RNAcentral